RNAcentral lists this ribosomal RNA (459 nucleotides) under uncultured bacterium. RNAcentral describes it as "partial 16S ribosomal RNA". It matches the Rfam family "Bacterial small subunit ribosomal RNA", at positions 338 to 795 of the family's 1533-position model. The record is from RNAcentral.
CCUACGGGAGGCAGCAGUGAGGAAUAUUGGUCAAUGGGCGGAAGCCUGAACCAGCCAAGUAGCGUGCGGGAUGAAGGCCCUACGGGUCGUAAACCGCUUUUGCACGGGGAUAACACCCUCCACUUGUGGAGGUCUGCAGGUACCGUGCGAAUAAGGGCCGGCUAAUUCCGUGCCAGCAGCCGCGGUAAUACGGAAGGCCCGAGCGUUAUCCGGAUUCAUUGGGCUUAAAGGGAGCGUAGGCGGGCGUUCAAGUCAGCUGUAAAAUCGCGCGGCUCAACCGCGCCCCGCAGUUGAAACUGGACGCAUUGAGUACACAACAGGCAGGCGGAAUUCGUGGUGUAGAGGUGAAAUGCAUAGAGAUCACGAGGAACCCCGAUUGCGAAGGCAGCCUGCCGGGGUGCGACUGACGCUGAGGCUCGAAGGUGCGGGUAUCAAACAGGAUUAGAUACCCGAGUAGUC